AAUAAUUAGGCUCAGAACUUCUGAAAAUCCCUAUAUAUGCCUUGUAUUUACAAAAUCACUCAACCACUGAAUGGCAGUAUUAUAGCUUAACAAAAUAAAUAAAUGGUUUGAACAAUUGAACUUCUAUCAAUUUAAACAAUUAUAAUUUACACGAACACUCACCUAAGCAAAUACACUGUCAAUUAUGGAAUACAUCAUCUUAUGCUUAAAAUUACAACAUCCAUCCUCCAUUAAAGAAUACAGCUUUGGUUAACCUUCACUAUGAUCACAACUCUAACUGAUGCUUAAUGAAUAACAAACCCAAACAACAAAGAUCCGACAGAGAUGAAACUUCACUCGAGCCUUAAAUGGCAAAUCAAACCAACCUGUGGCCAGAUCCACCAUUAUUGACCUUCAAAUCCAGUAUUAGACUUUAAUUUAUCAGAAUACAAAAGCAAGUUCAGAUUUCAGUAGUUAAUACUCAAAUAUAGGCAGCAUGUAUUUGACAAUGAGAUAUAUAGGUUGAGAUCCAACUAAACAUGUGAAAUCAGCUACAAUUCUAGUCACGAAAUUGCUAUGGAGACCAUCUGUCCUUAACAGGUUGUAAGUCUUAAACAUAUCAAAACUAACAUCCAUUCAUGUUCAAAACAGAACAAACAGUCAGUUUACAUAAUCACAGCAAAUAACUUUAAAGAAUAACCAACAUUUCAUAGCAAAUCAAAACAGAGGUACAGGUGUGAGAUGUGUACCUAAACUCGUAAACAAGCUGAACUUUUGCCAAAUAAAGGCUAAGAAAAACAACACGAGAUGAAUUCAGCAAGAUCAAUAGCAGGAAACAGAAGAACAGCCUCAAGUCUUAGCUAAACAGCAGAGUGACAACAACGGAUUUUUUCAACAACUCUAUGCAAUUUUGAAGAAAACAGAAGUUGAAUAGCAAAUCAAAACAGAGAACAACUUGUGAAAACCUUGAUGGAAUUUUCAGAGUGUUAUCUUUUAAAAAUCAGUGUGAAAAAUGAAGAAAAAGAGUCUGAAAUUUCUGCAGAGAGUCCAUUCUCUAAAAUGAAUAUGCAGGGGUGCUUUAUAUAGGGAAUAUGUGUGCCCUAUGAGAGAAUGAGAGAGUAUUCGGCCAGCUCCAUAAAAAUCAGGGAAUUGGCAUCUUUUCAACUGAAUUGGACAGCUGUCCUUUUCAGAUAUUUUUUCUUAUUUUUAGCAUCUUUUCUUAACCAAUUUGGACAGUUGUCCAUCAUCUAUUCUUUUCCUAUUUUUCUCAUCCCCUUAACUUAUGAAAUUAACCCCUUUAGACCUCUGAUUUACUGCAGUUUAACCCCUUCCAAGCUCUUCUAGAACCUUCCAUCGGCUAAAAGAAAGAUUCCCUAAUUUUCUAUUUCAUUUACCCCACUAAAGUUCCAAUUAAUACCAACUAGUGCCUUUACCUCAACUUACUGUCCUCUUUUAUCCCAUAGAAUCAACAUUUACUAAACAAUAACUAAUUAAUCUAAAUUGAAAUUAAGCUAUCAAUUACAAAUUAAUCACAAUCAGCAAACUAGUUGACCUAUCAAUUAAGCACAUGCGUAUUUUAAACCAUAACCUAAUUAAUCGAUUAAACUUCAAGUAGAACUAAAUCAAAUAAUUAUUCAGAAAGCUAAAACAUUUUCAAUAUUAACCUAAGCAUGCUGACAUUCAAACAGGUGAUUACUAACUUUUUUUUUUUUUGAUAAGGUAAAUUAAAAACAGGUUAUUACUAACUAAAUGCAAGCCUACAAUUAUUUAGCUAAUUUAUGAGCAAAACUGAUUCAAUUAAACUAGGUCAGACAAACCACAUGCAAUUAAAAAAAAUCUUCUGCUUUCAACAAACAAAAUCAACAAAAGAAUAAGAUAAAAAGGGUGAGGGUGUACCUAUGGAAGAAAAGACGAUUCAAUUGACGCGAUUUCAACGAGGUUCGGCCGGAUUCCGAUGGUUCCGAAAUGAGCUAAAACUUACAUUAAUCAAUUGCUCUUGACAAAAGCAAUUGAUCAAUGUUAGGGAUUAGGAGGAUGUGAGUACUGUGGGGUGUGAAUUUGAGGGAGAUUGGGGUUGUUUGAAGCGGCGGCGGCGGCAAAGGGUCUUGAGGCGGCUAGGGUUCGAGUGAAAGAGAUGAGAGGGAAUGAAAAUGGGGAAAUGAACUGGUCUCU
Molecule: long non-coding RNA, 2151 nt
Filed under: Nicotiana tabacum (common tobacco)
Lineage: Eukaryota; Viridiplantae; Streptophyta; Magnoliopsida; Solanales; Solanaceae
Description: long non-coding RNA (NTAB_LNC000661)
Source: RNAcentral